Molecule: ribosomal RNA, 449 nt
Filed under: uncultured bacterium
Lineage: Bacteria
Description: bacterial SSU rRNA
Rfam family: Bacterial small subunit ribosomal RNA
Source: RNAcentral
UCGAGAAUCAUUCGCAAUGGGCGAAAGCCUGACGAUGCGACGCCGUGUGAGCGAUGAAGGCCUUAGGGUCGUAAAGCUCUUUCGCUUGGGAACAAGAGAGGUUAGUGAAUAACUAGCUAAUUUGAGGGUACCAGGUAAAGAAGCACCGGCUAACUCCGUGCCAGCAGCUGCGGUAAUACGGAGGGUGCAAGCAUUAAUCGGAUUUAUUGGGCGUAAAGGGCGCGUAGGCGGAAAAGAAAGUCUUGUGUGAAAUCCCGGGGCUCAACCCCGGAACAGCACGGGAAACUCCUUUUCUAGAGGGUAGGCGGAGAAAACGGAAUUCCACAAGUAGCGGUGAAAUGCGUAGAUAUGUGGAAGAACACCGGUGGCGAAGGCGGUUUUCUAGCUUAUACCUGACGCUGAGGCGCGAAAGCAAGGGGAUCAAACAGGAUUAGAUACCCCGGUAGUCC